UAUAUUUCUAUGUUUGUGACUCUUUUAUCAUGUGUUCAGUCAGAUAUUGUCUUGACCCAAAAAAGUAAUGAAGUCAAAAAGCCUGGAGAGUCUCUGCGACUGACCUGUCAUGGUUCAGGGCAGGACAGUGAUGGAGAUACUGUUACUGCUUACCCCUUGAGCUGGAUUCGACAAGAGCCUGGAAAAGGACUUGAAUGGCUAGCUCUUAUUAGCUCUGACAGCAGCACUACAAAGUAUGCCAGCAGCGUUGAAGGACAAUUUACAAUCUCCAGAGACAAUUCUAAACAGGCACUGUAUUUGGAUGUGAACAGCCUCAAAAUUGAAGACACGGCCACAUAUUUUUGUGCUGUAGGCACAAUGAGUAAUGUCUUGUGGUCUCUCAUACAAAAUCCUCAGAAAAGUCUUUUCUGUCCCCUGCCUCCCCCCCAAAAAAACAAACUGAAAUUAGUACAUUUUCCCACAAACUGA
This is a non-coding RNA of Erpetoichthys calabaricus (reedfish), 468 nucleotides long. NCBI's taxonomy places the organism in Eukaryota, Metazoa, Chordata, Cladistia, Polypteriformes, Polypteridae. The record is from the annotation of a RefSeq genome assembly.